GUGCUCAUUUCGGGAGCACAUAUACUAAAAUUGGGAUGAUACAGAUAAGAUUAGCAUGGCCCCUACACAAGGAUGACAUGAAAAUCCAUGAAGUGUUCCAUAUUUUA
Myotis daubentonii (Daubenton's bat) is the source of this 107-nucleotide small nuclear RNA. NCBI's taxonomy places the organism in Eukaryota, Metazoa, Chordata, Mammalia, Chiroptera, Vespertilionidae. The record is from RefSeq and is a predicted model, not a curated record.